UUGCUUCCAAAGAGACUUAGUGGCGAACGGGUGAGUAACACGUAGGUAACCUGCCCAUGUGCCCGGGAUAACUGCUGGAAACGGUAGCUAAAACCGGAUAGGUAUGAGGGAGGCAUCUUCCUCAUAUUAAAGCACCUUCGGGUGUGAACAUGGAUGGACCUGCGGCGCAUUAGCUGGUUGGUGAGGUAACGGCCCACCAAGGCGAUGAUGCGUAGCCGACCUGAGAGGGUGAACGGCCACAUUGGGACUGAGACACGGCCCAAACUCCUACGGGAGGCAGCAGUAGGGAAUUUUCGUCAAUGGGGGGAACCCUGAACGAGCAAUGCCGCGUGUGUGAAGAAGGUCUUCGGAUCGUAAAGCACUGUUGUAAGUGAAGAAUGCCAUAUAGAGGAAAUGCUGUGUGGGUGACGGUAGCUUACCAGAAAGCCACGGCUAACUACGUGCCAGCAGCCGCGGUAAUACGUAGGUGGCAAGCGUUAUCCGGAAUCAUUGGGCGUAAAGGGUGCGUAGGUGGCACGAUAAGUCUGAAGUAAAAGGCAACAGCUCAACUGUUGUAUGCUUUGGAAACUGUCGAGCUAGAGUGCAGAAGAGGGCGAUGGAAUUCCAUGUGUAGCGGUAAAAUGCGUAGAUAUAUGGAGGAACACCAGUGGCGAAGGCGGUCGCCUGGUCUGUAACUGACGCUGAUGCACGAAAGC
This 695-nucleotide ribosomal RNA is filed under the name uncultured Mollicutes bacterium. RNAcentral's name for it is "bacterial SSU rRNA". It matches the Rfam family "Bacterial small subunit ribosomal RNA", at positions 76 to 760 of the family's 1533-position model. The record is from RNAcentral. Lineage: Bacteria; Bacillati; Mycoplasmatota; Mollicutes.